Molecule: ribosomal RNA, 497 nt
Filed under: uncultured bacterium
Lineage: Bacteria
Description: partial 16S ribosomal RNA
Rfam family: Bacterial small subunit ribosomal RNA
Source: RNAcentral
GAUGAACGCUGGCGGCGUGCCUAAUACAUGCAAGUCGAGCGAACGGACGAGAAGCUUGCUUCUCUGAUGUUAGCGGCGGACGGGUGAGUAACACGUGGAUAACCUACCUAUAAGACUGGGAUAACUUCGGGAAACCGAAGCUAAUACCGGAUAAUAUUUUGAACCGCAUGGUUCAAAAGUAAAAGACGGUCUUGCUGUCACUUAUAGAUGGAUCCGCGCUGCAUUAGCUAGUUGGUAAGGUAACGGCUUACCAAGGCAACGAUGCAUAGCCGACCUGAGAGGGUGAUCGGCCACACUGGAACUGAGACACGGUCCAGACUCCUACGGGGGGCAGCAGUAGGGAAUCUUCCGCAAUGGGCGAAAGCCUGACGGAGCAACGCCGCGUGAGUGAUGAAGGUCUUCGGAUCGUAAAACUCUGUUAUUAGGGAAGAACAUAUGUGUAAGUAACUGUGCACAUCUUGACGGUACCUAAUCAGAAAGCCACGGCUAACUACGUG